RNAcentral lists this ribosomal RNA (250 nucleotides) under uncultured bacterium. RNAcentral's name for it is "partial 16S ribosomal RNA". It matches the Rfam family "Bacterial small subunit ribosomal RNA", at positions 524 to 773 of the family's 1533-position model. The record is from RNAcentral.
UACAGAGAGUGCGAGCGUUAAUCGGAAUUACUGGGCGUAAAGCGUACGUAGGUGGAUGUUUAAGUCAGAUGUGAAAGCCCCGAGCUUAACUUGGGAAUUGCAUUUGAUACUGGGCGUCUAGAGUAUAGUAGAGGGAAGUGGAAUUUCUGGUGUAGCGGUGAAAUGCGUAGAUAUCAGAAGGAACAUCAGUGGCGAAAGCGGCUUCCUGGACUAAUACUGACACUUAGGUACGAAAGCGUGGGGAGCAAAC